RNAcentral lists this unclassified non-coding RNA (241 nucleotides) under plant metagenome. RNAcentral's name for it is "partial contains small subunit ribosomal RNA, internal transcribed spacer 1, and 5.8S ribosomal RNA". The record is from RNAcentral.
UUUCCGUAGGUGAACCUGCGGAAGGAUCAUUAAAGAGUAAGGGUCUUCGGGCCCGAUCUCCAGCCCUUUGUUUAACUACCAUGUUGCUUUGGCGGGCCCGUCUCACGACCGCCGGAAGUUUGGCUUCGACCAAACUUCUGGCCCGUGCCCGUCAGUGGCCCCUUCAAAUUCUUGAUCAAGUAUGAUGUCUUAGUUAAAAACUUAAUAGUUAAAACUUUCAACAACGGACCUCUUGGUUCUG